Callorhinus ursinus (northern fur seal) is the source of this 113-nucleotide non-coding RNA. The record is from RefSeq and is a predicted model, not a curated record. NCBI's taxonomy places the organism in Eukaryota, Metazoa, Chordata, Mammalia, Carnivora, Otariidae.
UAGGAGAAGAGACUAAAUUAAGAUUUGUUUAUGUUCUUUUAUAGUUUUACCUCCCAAGUGUGGCUCUCUGGGCACUAGAGUUUAGUUUUGCUUAUGAUAUGUCUUUUAAAUCU